GGCGAACGGGUGAGUAAUACAUCGGAACGUGCCCAGUCGUGGGGGAUAACGCAGCGAAAGCUGUGCUAAUACCGCAUACGAUCUACGGAUGAAAGCGGGGGACCGUAAGGCCUCGCGCGAUUGGAGCGGCCGAUGGCAGAUUAGGUAGUUGGUGGGGUAAAGGCCUACCAAACCUGCGAUCUGUAGCUGGUCUGAGAGGACGACCAGCCACACUGGGACUGAGACACGGCCCAGACUCCUACGGGAGGCAGCAGUGGGGAAUUUUGGACAAUGGGCGCAAGCCUGAUCCAGCCAUUCCGCGUGCAGGAUGAAGGCCCUCGGGUUGUAAACUGCUUUUGUACGGAACGAAACGGCUCUCUCUAAUACAGGGGGCUAAUGACGGUACCGUAAGAAUAAGCACCGGCUAACUACGUGCCAGCAGCCGCGG
This 427-nucleotide ribosomal RNA is filed under the name uncultured bacterium. RNAcentral describes it as "bacterial SSU rRNA". It matches the Rfam family "Bacterial small subunit ribosomal RNA", at positions 97 to 520 of the family's 1533-position model. The record is from RNAcentral.